Molecule: long non-coding RNA, 882 nt
Filed under: Eucalyptus grandis
Lineage: Eukaryota; Viridiplantae; Streptophyta; Magnoliopsida; Myrtales; Myrtaceae
Description: long non-coding RNA (EGRA_LNC002685)
Source: RNAcentral
GGACAAUCAAUGAGGUAAUUGUCUGUGAAGGUGACAAUGCCUGUUUAUCUUUCUGUGGUAGAAUGGUGUGUUGUUGUAGCUUCUUUCAAUGUGGACCUCAUUUUCAUAGGACUUGCCAUUAUUCUGUUGAUUGUUGUGGUUACUGGAUACUUUAUUGACGAUUCAAUAAUCUCUUAUUCACUGUAUGGUCCAAUGUUCUUGAUCUUUUCGAGUUUGUGUUCUACCUCUCUAUCGUUUUUAACUAUUUUUGGGCCUCUUUUGUGAUUUUGACUGUAGCUUUGUUUUCCACCCGUUUCAUGUUCUGAAAAAGAAAAAAGAGGUUUUCUUUUGGGUGACUUUUGCUACUUCUUGAGCUUUUAGUAGUUGUUGUUCUUGCUUCCUUCAUAUCUCUAGCUUCCUAGACCUGUCAUUUUCCUUGAGUCAGUAACAGAUUGUGUUCAGAACAAGAAAUGUGCCUGAAUGUUUAAAGCUAAAUGUGUAGGUUUGUUUGCCUGAAUAAUUCCCAAAUUCAUAUCAACCUAUUUUUUACAAACAACGACAUGUUUUAGUUACAUCUCACUUUUUGCCUAGUACUCAUGGAAACAAAUUCGAAGGCAUAACUCAUAUAGAACUAGUCAGGUUAAUGUUGGAUACCUGUAUCUCUCUUAAACUACUCAUAACUGUAUCACACUUCAGUUACAUUUCACUUUCUUCCUUCUAUAUAUGUACUUGAUAUGUGCUUCAGUGUUGCCAGUCUUGAUAGAUUGAAUCCGUGAGCUUCAACUUCAUACUUGGAUGGCACAUCUUCAUAAUCUCUUAUAAUCGAUUUGGAAGCUAAGGAUUAUGAUUUUUGUUUUAGUGUACAGUGGCACUAGUAACGACACCACUAGAUGAGCAUUUCUA